GAUGAACGCUGGCGGCGUGCUUAACACAUGCAAGUCGAACGGUGAAGGCGGAGCUUGCUCUGCUGGAUCAGUGGCGAACGGGUGAGUAACACGUGAGCAAUCUGCCCCUGACUCUGGGAUAAGCGCUGGAAACGGCGUCUAAUACUGGAUACGAGCUGCGAAGGCAUCUUCAGCAGCUGGAAAGAAUUUCGGUCAGGGAUGAGCUCGCGGCCUAUCAGCUUGUUGGUGAGGUAAUGGCUCACCAAGGCGUCGACGGGUAGCCGGCCUGAGAGGGUGACCGGCCACACUGGGACUGAGACACGGCCCAGACUCCUACGGGAGGCAGCAGUGGGGAACAUUGCACAAUGGGCGAAAGCCUGAUGCAGCAACGCCGCGUGAGGGACGACGGCCUUCGGGUUGUAAACCUCUUUUAGCAGGGAAGAAGCGAAAGUGACGGUACCUGCAGAAAAAGCGCCGGCUAACUACGUG
Molecule: ribosomal RNA, 468 nt
Filed under: uncultured bacterium
Lineage: Bacteria
Description: partial 16S ribosomal RNA
Rfam family: Bacterial small subunit ribosomal RNA
Source: RNAcentral